RNAcentral lists this long non-coding RNA (239 nucleotides) under Nicotiana benthamiana. RNAcentral's name for it is "long non-coding RNA (NBEN_LNC029650)". Lineage: Eukaryota; Viridiplantae; Streptophyta; Magnoliopsida; Solanales; Solanaceae. The record is from RNAcentral.
GACCCAUUCAGAAGGUCUGAUAACUGAGGAGAGCUUUCAGAAGCUCAAAACUCUUUGAAUACAACUCUAGUUCUAGUUCUAGUUUUUCUUCGACGUCGGGUUCUUCUACAAUAUAUUGUGAUGCUUCACAGAUUGGCAUUAGGUGUUGUCACACCUACUAUUUCCUACCCUGGAAGGGUAUAAUGAAGUUUUUUCUAAUUUAAGUGACAAUCGAAACGAGAUUAUUUUAUUAAAAUAUU